Panicum virgatum (switchgrass) is the source of this 1369-nucleotide long non-coding RNA. RefSeq lists it as uncharacterized. NCBI's taxonomy places the organism in Eukaryota, Viridiplantae, Streptophyta, Magnoliopsida, Poales, Poaceae. The transcript has 4 exons. The record is from RefSeq and is a predicted model, not a curated record.
UCCUCUCCCUGCCGCGGUGCCGCCGCCCUUUCUCUGCUCUUUGCCUGCCCACCGCCGCCUCGCCUCCCCUUCUCCCUCUCCGCCUGCCUCCAUCGCCCCUCCCCGUCGCCGCCCGCUCCCGUGCCGGAUCCAGAUUCGGCGCGACGGCGUGCUGCUCGAUAGAGGCGCAGAGCGCAGGCAUGAGCGGCGGCGCGCAUGGGUAGCAGGGUGCUCCCCUAGCGGCAGUAGUGCCGUGAGCUCGCCGCCAGGAGGCAGCUCGACCUCCGCCCCAAAUGAGCGCAGUCACACUCGCCCACCCCACGACUCCUCUCCCAAAUCGGCGUCGGGACGCUCGCCCAACCCGCGAGGCCGUGACUUCUUCUCCUCCCCGUGCCUCUUGCCAACGCGCCGCCUCCUCCUUGACCGUGAAUCCUUCCACCACCCAGCUCCUCCACCCACAGCUUCUUUUGUGCCUCCCCUCUCCUAAAGUUUCGCGCAAUCCAUCCAGUUCCUCGUGGAGGAAGUGAUAUAGGCAGGGAUGGCGUCCGAGGAGGAGGCGGAUGGAUCUGCAAUGGAGGCCUUCUCUCAGCAAAUUUGCACGUGUAGGACCUGGUGGUUGCACAGAAAUUGGAGAUGGCUCAUCCUGUCGACUCCCUCUCUACUUCGCACGUUCACUGAUGAUUAGUAUUGAUGGACAGCUCACGUCUUCACUGCUGGUCACAGAUCAUAUAGAAAAUACUAGAUCAAGGGGGCCUCCCUGCUAUUGUUGGCAGCACAAACUUCUACAUCCAGGCCCUUAUUAGCCCAAUCACGAGCACUAGGAGCUCAAGAACGCACUGGCCACCGUGGUCCCGCCCACCAACCCCAUGGAGCUCACCAACCAUGACCUCGAGCAGUUCCAAACCGUGCCUGCUUCAGUUGCGGCUAGCUUCUGUGUGCCCUUCGUCUCCGGCAAGAAGAGUUCGGACCUGAAGUCUGCAUCGACUUUGGCCUGCAAAGUUUGUACCAUGGUGAUUUGCUUUUGGUUUUAGUUAGUAUUUAAAGCUGUCAGCUAGGUUGUUUGGUAGCUAUGCACACUUGCUGUUGCAGGUAGAUUUAUGGUGCUCGGAUGUGCUAUAAUAUGGAUGCUCCAAAUGCCGGACCGACACCUGAUGGUAGGAUAGAUUGGUGCUCAGAUGUAACUAUGGUGAUUGGAUGUACUAUGAUGUUGAUGAUUGAGAUGCCGGAUAGACACCCGAUGGAUAGAAUAGCUUCAUGCUCGAAUGUAUUGUAAUAUUUUGUAUUUAGAUGCCAGAAAGACACCUAAUACACCUAAUGGCUAGGAUAGUUUUUUGUGCUCAAAUGUGCUGUAAUAUUUAUGAUUCAAAUGCUAGAUAGAUAGUUAACAUGA